Molecule: ribosomal RNA, 252 nt
Filed under: uncultured prokaryote
Description: partial 16S ribosomal RNA
Rfam family: Bacterial small subunit ribosomal RNA
Source: RNAcentral
CCGUAGGAGGCAAGCGUUAUCCGGCUUUCCUGGGCUUCCCUUUCUUUCCUUCUUUUUUCUCCUUUCUUUUUUCCCUCCCCCAGUCUUCACCGGGCGAGGACAAUGAAGACUGGUCAGCUAGAGGACGGUAGAGGGGUGUGGAAUUCCGGGUGUAGUGGUGAAAUGCGUAGAGGUCCGGAGGAACACCAGAGGCGAAGGCGACCCCCUGGGCCGUACCUGACGCUAAGACGCGACAGCACGGGGAGCGAACGG